Molecule: long non-coding RNA, 4351 nt
Organism: Anolis carolinensis (green anole)
Lineage: Eukaryota; Metazoa; Chordata; Lepidosauria; Squamata; Anolidae
Exons: 3
Source: RefSeq, a predicted model, not a curated record
UCUUGUACCAACUAGACUUGUGUGUGAAUUUCGUUUCCUCUGUUUCCUCUAUUUCCUUCGGUACCUUCAGUACUUUUUGGGGCACAUAAAGGUAAGGGCCCUCCUGGUAUGAAAAUCUGCCCGACACGAAAGCAAGUGGAAGCUGAUCUUGGCUCUUCCUCCCCUAUUCGGCAUUACAGUUCAAUCUUUUUGAUUCUUUAUUUUCCUGAUUCUUUUUAUCUAGUGGGGCUGACUAGGAAUUAAGUGCUUGGAGACAGUGAGUCACCCUUUUCCCUUCUUUUUCUCCUCCCCUUCAUCUCCUUCAGAAAAUACUUCUAAAAUAUAAUUAUUAUUAAUAAUAAUCCCAGCAAACAAAAGGAGAAGCAUACCUCUCUUCUAGAGUAGAAAGUAGAAACAGCUUUAAGGAAAUAUUAAACCAAAGGAGAAAGGAGAUUGCAGCCUUGCAGGCAAGUGAAGGAAUUUUAAGGUAGUUGUGAUGACUCAUGGGCCUUGUAGUCCUGUUCCUAGUACUAUUGUGGCAGACGAAGAGGAAAACAUGGGAUUUUCGCCGGUUCAGCAAGAGCCGGAGUCUCUUCACCUGCAGGAUGUUGAUGUUUGCCCUCAAGAAUUCAGCCAAACAGGCCUUGGGCAGAACUCCCCCCCGUUUUCCCGGAGGGACAAUUAUACCAAAGAUAGGGGAGUCAGGGAGGCUAAUCGCAGAAGCCUGAGAAUCGCUGCCAAACAAAUGGCUGAUUAGGUCUGCUUCCCUUGGGAAAUUCUAAGGAGUCAUGCAUCUGGACAGAGUUGGGUUUCGCUUCUCGUUCUCUAGGGAAAGAGUUCUGUUGGCGGGAAAACGAGACCCAAUAUAGGUGUUUGUCGCAAGGGAUACUUUGCGGAGUCAAUUGAUCAGCUUGAGGAGAGAGAUCAUGUGUGGACUUCAUAAUCCCAGUUCCUUGCUUCCCAGAUCAAGUUUCAAGCCUUGCCUUGUCUCAUGUUUUUACCACGGACUGUGUUUCAUGCUUCAUGUUCUUCUUGCCUCCAGUCAAGGAUCUAGUCGAGAAUCAAGUUAUUCCAGCCUUGUUGUCAAGCUUCAUUGGACUUAAAAGACUCUGUUAUUUCCCCACACUAUUGCUUGGCAAAGUGUGUGUUUCGGUCAAGUGGAUUAAAACUUUGAACUCUAAUAUCUUAUAUUGGACAAUACAUUUCUGGACUAUAUUUGACCUUAUCUGAAAGGUCUGCUUCUGAACUAUAUUCUUCACUUGUUUUUAUUGAUUUUAUAUAUUUCUUUAAUAAAGAUAUUAGAUAGAUUCUGGCCUCUGUGUAAGGUUAUUGGUGCUCUGCAGCCUGGGUCCUGACAGUAGUUCAGGGAGGAUAGCUCAACUGAGCUUCAGGUCAUCGCUAUUUCUUCCCUGGGCCUCCUUAAAAUGUCUUAAUGUUGCUGGUGUUGGGAGAAAAGAAAGUGUUGGCACCUGUCUUUCCUCUAGAGUAGAACAGUUUUAAGAAGCAGUAAACCCGGUCUCUCAUACAAGCAGAAAGGAAAGGAUCCAGAAACUCAAGAGUAGUAACUCUGAUGCGUUUUAAAAUCCAGGUCUUAAUGAAGGAUAUGGAAGGGGAGCCUGCAGGAAGUCCCCCCAGUAAUAGUUUGGAGGAGGAUGUUUUCUUAACCCCAUUGCUGAUACCCAGGCUCCCUUGAAGGGAAAAAAAGGAAAGGCUCCCAGGGAGCCAAGUUCCCUAUUGUGGGCCAAACAGAGAUGGUUUUUUUUUUUUUUUUUUUUUGGGAUGCUGAACAAAAAUGCCCAUUCGGCAGCAUGCCCAUUUUCGGGAGGUGCUGGAAAACGGAUAUGGGGGGCUUCUGGUAACCGGCAAGCAGAAACAGAUAGCAAUUCACCUGAAAUGCACAAGCCUAGUACCAACAUUUGUGUGUUGUAACAUGACAUUGAUCACAGUGGCAUUGUCUGAUAUACAUAUAUUGCUGUGUUAACAAAUCCUGUGACAAAGAACGUCCUUUCUAUAAAGUCUGUUUAUGCCUCCCCUUUCCUUUUCCUGUUUGUAUUCUGUCUACUUGGAAGAUUGUUUAGCAACAUUAGCACAGGAUGUAUGAUGGAAGGCUGGAGAAACACAGACUUUUGUGUUGAGUUGUAAUAACUUAUAUGCAGUAAGUAGUUCUAUAAUGCAUAAGCUGAGAAAGAAUGGGGUUCUGCUCCAGCCAACCCAACUGUAAUUAUUUGUGCCUGUCUAUAAACAGCAGCAGCCUCCAGAAUUUCUAACUGAGCAUGCAUCAUCAUCAAUCAAAACAACAAACCAUAAAGGGAGGGCAGAUAAGCUACCUCAGAAAUAUUUAUGCCCACCCCCCAAAAAAUCUUAGAUUUUAAAAGCAAGGUUCAAUUAUUUUUUUUCAUUUACCUGACCUGGUUGUUUCAUUUCACAUAUUCAUGUGGUAAGUUUGGGAUAAAAAAUGCCCUUUUUCUGGUGUAGGAACCUAGCUUUUGUAGUGUAGGAACCUACCUAUGUUUAUUGUUUUAUCCUUAAUGUAUUGUGUUUUGUGCCUUUAGUUUGAUAUUAUGUAUAUUGUUUUUGUGUUGUGAGCCACCCCGAGUCCCUUUGGGGAAAGGGAUGAUGAUGAUGACCUUUCUAUGCUAUUUUUGCCUCUGGUACCAAUUUUUUUAAAAAGAAUUUAAUGUCUAAGAGUACAUCAACUUAUUUCUCCCCUCCCCCCCACACACAAGAUUUGUGUGAUGUGUUCUCAUUCCAGGAUAGGUAUGUGCUGCAUUUGAUUAAAUGUAAGGGAAAACUCAGUACUUGCUCAACUUACAUCUGCUACUGUUUUUAAAACCAUUCAAUUCAGAGAUGGACAAUCUGAUGCCCUUCAGAUGUUUGCACCACAACUCCCAUCAACCAAGCAGCAUGAUAAAGGAUUGAAACUAUAGGCAGUGUUGUCUAAAACAUUUGGAAGGGAAUCAGGUUUUCUCCCUAGUACUCUUUCCAUCUUGGUAUUGCAAAAUGAAUAAUGUGAAAUCUGGUAUUGUGAGAAGCAUGCAAUGUCAAAGAAUUAAUAGCCUUUGUGUUCCUUACUUUUAGGAGAUCCAGUUACACCCUUCAAGUCACUGAGUCAGCACUGGAAAACCUAGCUCUGCUUCUUCCUCCCUUUUCAUACUAUAAUCUGUUGAAAGAUUGAGCAGGGAAUUUGAUGCAGCAUAAUAGCCAAGUUGAAAUGCAUACAUAUCCCGUAUUGUUGAGGCAUUAACUUAAUCAACCAAGGUGUUCAGUCAAACUGGAGUCGGUGAAUAAUUGUCAAAACAGUGUCUGCUUCCUUGAAAAAGUUGAUUUCUGUGCAAAACAACCAUCUGUGAAUUAUGUGCAGAACAAAUCCCAACUGGUGAAGAUUAUUACCACUUUAGGAAGAACGUCCUGAUGCACAGAACCAGCCAAGAAAAGGAAACUCUGUGGAAGUAUUUUCAAGAUGGUAUGUAUUAUUUAAUACAUUGCUUUGAAUCAACUAGCAAAAGAAGGCCACAUUAUAAAGCAAGCCAGCCAAACCCAAGCUAUUAAAAUUGAUCAUACACUUUCAUGUUCUCCUAAUUCUUCUGCUUUACUUACAAAAUAAACAUCAACAUAAAUAUUUAAUAUACGAGCUACAGCAUGAAAAGGGCUAUUGUCAGAACUCUAUAGUAAAUACAUGUUUUCAAAUUACUGCUCAUGAUGUGGCCUGUUUCAGGCUGAGACAAAUAAUGUUAAUAGCACAUAUUCAUUGGGAAACAAAUCUGUUCCUUGCAUAUAAGCUUAAACAAAUAUUUUUCAGCAACAAAAAUGUAUUCAGAUUACACCUAUUGAAAUAGACUUAGCAUUAACAUUAAAUGCUGAAAAUGCAUGUUCUUUAAAGUAUGAAAUAAGGAACUACAAACAACAAAAACUACACAUGAAAUUACCAAAUGGAUGCAUAAUAAAAGCAAAAAAGAAAAUGGCAUAAAACUUACCACACACACAUCUAAACUACCUAAAUGUAGAAGGAAAAGGGGAAAGACUUCCAACUAUAUUUUGGGUGGAUAUAUUUUAACUCUUUAACUCCCACCUCUCUCCAUUUUAUCUAAAGAUAUCCUUCUGUCUAUAUGACUCAACCAGUGCCUGUUUUGAAUACGAUAAUUUGCAGAUCCAUGAAGUAACUGAUUUUUCUUUCAUUUUUCCCCUGCUCUGUCCCUAUUGCUAUUUGGGAAUUUUCCACAUCUAACCACCAGUAGACUGAACAACAAUAACAGAUAUAUUUCUCAAUAGGCAUGUAUUUACUUUGUUCAGGCGCAUUCAGGCACACUUCUCCAUUUCAAUGAAGGAAGAUGGGACAAGAUAAGACAAGUGCUAAUCUUUGUUAAUGAAGACU